Long non-coding RNA from Branchiostoma belcheri (Belcher's lancelet), 1012 nucleotides. RefSeq lists it as uncharacterized. The transcript has 3 exons. The record is from RefSeq and is a predicted model, not a curated record. Lineage: Eukaryota; Metazoa; Chordata; Leptocardii; Amphioxiformes; Branchiostomatidae.
CUUGUGUUAAGGGCAGACGGAAGAGCACCAUAAUUUUGCUAGUUUCGUCGGUUCAUUUUCUGUCGAACACGAGCAGACCACACCUACACAACAUAUAUUCGUACAAGAGUAAACCAACAACAUGGCGAGAACUUUAGCGGACAAACUGCAAGAGCUGGAGUUUCGUCUGGAAACGGGGGACGGUCCGGAGAGCGAGUACGGCAGAGCUCUGAGAGACGCCAUGGCCGACACGGACUCGCGUCUAGAGGCCGGGAGGCGCUCAAAUCUCUCGGCGACUUGCGUCUUGACAAAGAAAGACUCGCGAGGGAUUUUGAAGAAAUUAACAAGGUUAUAACACUUUACACGGCUGCCUGUCUGCGAUGUACGGAUCCGGAUCUCAGGGUAACGAUCCGACACCGUGUUCGGUAUUUGGAGACACUUGUUAAGAGAGAUCUUCCCACCUGUAGAUUAGAUAGAGUCCUACAGGAGAAAACCACAGGACAGGCGGAAGUUCCACAUAUUACUUCUUCUUUCUCUUUAAACAGUAUAACGAAGGUCGUUGAAAGGUGCUUGCAGUUGGACAAAGCCCAGAAUAGACACCGGAGUUACGUUUAUUCCUUGGAAGAGGAAUAUACCAAGGCGCUUGUGGAAGCGAUUGAGAACAGUGACGCCUUGUUGGAACUCGAGGUGACGAAAAGCCUCGGUGAUCUGUACCUGGAAGAGGGGAAAAACAGCUCCAGUAUGGACCUGCUGUCGAAAGCGAAGGGAAUGUACGAAACUGCCACAACAAGGUUUGAGGAACCAGAAGCGAAAGAUGUUCUAACACAUCGGGUUAAGUACGCGGAGAAGGUCAUGGAAGUAGUGAAACGGCGUAAUGAUAUGAGGACUAUGCAGACACGGGGAGAAGCAAAAGGGCGUGAAAACGUGAAAGAGGCUAAGGAUAUGAUAAUGCAAGGGGACGAGGCAUUGGAGAAUUGUGAUCUCGAAACGGCCGAGUGGCAGUUUGCUUCUGCGCUGAGACGUGUUCACUGUG